UACGGAGGGUGCAAGCGUUGUUCGGAAUUACUGGGCGUAGAGCGCGCGUAGGCGGUCUGUUAUGUCAGAUGUGAAAGUCCUCGGCUCAACCGGGGAAGUGCAUUUGAAACUGGCAGACUUGAGUACUGGAGGGGGUGGUGGAAUUCCCGGUGUAGAGGUGAAAUUCGUAGAUAUCGGGAGGAAUACCGGUGGCGAAGGCGACCACCUGGCCAGAUACUGACGCUGAGGUGCGAAAGCGUGGGGAGCAAACAGGAUUAGAAACCCUAGUAGUCC
Molecule: ribosomal RNA, 273 nt
Filed under: uncultured bacterium
Lineage: Bacteria
Description: partial 16S ribosomal RNA
Rfam family: Bacterial small subunit ribosomal RNA
Source: RNAcentral